UCCCUGGAGGACUAGUGGUUAGGACACAGCACUCUCACUGCUGCUGCCCGGGUUUGAUUCCUGGCCAGGGAA
Pangasianodon gigas (Mekong giant catfish) is the source of this 72-nucleotide non-coding RNA. The record is from the annotation of a GenBank genome assembly. Lineage: Eukaryota; Metazoa; Chordata; Actinopteri; Siluriformes; Pangasiidae.